GACGAACGCUGGCGGCGUGCUUAACACAUGCAAGUCGAACGGAAAGGCCCUGCUUUUGUGGGGUGCUCGAGUGGCGAACGGGUGAGUAACACGUGAGUAACCUGCCCUUGACUUUGGGAUAACUUCAGGAAACUGGGGCUAAUACCGGAUAGGAGCUCCUGCUGCAUGGUGGGGGGUUGGAAAGUUUCGGCGGUUGGGGAUGGACUCGCGGCUUAUCAGCUUGUGGGUGGGGUAGUGGCUUACCAAGGCUUUGACGGGUAGCCGGCCUGAGAGGGUGACCGGCCACAUUGGGACUGAGAUACGGCCCAGACUCCUACGGGAGGCAGCAGUGGGGAAUAUUGCACAAUGGGCGGAAGCCUGAUGCAGCAACGCCGCGUGCGGGAUGACGGCCUUCGGGUUGUAAACCGCUUUCGCCUGUGACGAAGCGUGAGUGACGGUAAUGGGUAAAGAAGCACCGGCUAACUACGUG
RNAcentral lists this ribosomal RNA (469 nucleotides) under uncultured bacterium. RNAcentral describes it as "partial 16S ribosomal RNA". It matches the Rfam family "Bacterial small subunit ribosomal RNA", at positions 28 to 507 of the family's 1533-position model. The record is from RNAcentral.